UAGGGUGACCAAGUUGUCCUGGUUUUCCCAGGACUACCCUGGUUUUAGUACUGAGGGGCCAGCCUCCUGGGAAACCCCCUCAGUCCUGGGCAAAACAGGAUGACUGGCCACCCUGCAUCUUA
Molecule: microRNA precursor, 122 nt
Filed under: Marmota monax (woodchuck)
Lineage: Eukaryota; Metazoa; Chordata; Mammalia; Rodentia; Sciuridae
Source: RNAcentral